AGUGAACGCUGGCGGUAGGCCUAACACAUGCAAGUCGAACGACAGCACAGUAAGAGCUUGCUCUUACGGGUGGCGAGUGGCGGACGGGUGAGGAAUACAUCGGAAUCUACUUUUUCGUGGGGGAUAACGGAGGGAAACUUACGCUAAUACCGCAUACGACCUACGGGUGAAAGCAGGGGAUCUUCGGACCUUGCGCGAUUGAAUGAGCCGAUGUCGGAUUAGCUAGUUGGCGGGGUAAAGGCCCACCAAGGCGACGAUCCGUAGCUGGUCUGAGAGGAUGAUCAGCCACACUGGAACUGAGACACGGUCCAGACUCCUACGGGAGGCAGCAGUGGGGAAUAUUGGACAAUGGGCGCAAGCCUGAUCCAGCCAUACCGCGUGGGUGAAGAAGGCCUUCGGGUCGUAAAGCCCUUUUGUUGGGAAAGAAAAGCAGCAGGUUAAUACCCCGCUGUUCUGACGGUACCCAAAGAAUAAGCACCGGCUAACUUCGUG
RNAcentral lists this ribosomal RNA (492 nucleotides) under uncultured bacterium. RNAcentral's name for it is "partial 16S ribosomal RNA". It matches the Rfam family "Bacterial small subunit ribosomal RNA", at positions 29 to 507 of the family's 1533-position model. The record is from RNAcentral.